This 5919-nucleotide long non-coding RNA is filed under the name Elaeis guineensis (African oil palm). Its description in RNAcentral is "long non-coding RNA (EGUI_LNC022302)". The record is from RNAcentral. Lineage: Eukaryota; Viridiplantae; Streptophyta; Magnoliopsida; Arecales; Arecaceae.
AAAGGUAAAAAUUCAGAGCUCCUUUAGACUUGAAAAGGUGCAGACAUGAUGUCCACUUGAGAAGGGAAACAUCAGAAAGCAAAAGCAGGAAGGUAUGGCACUUCAAACUUACUUGGCUAUGAUCAACAUAUUCUUUAAAAAGACAUGACAGAAGUACCAGGUAGCAAUUAUCACAAGGUAAAAAGAGGAAGGCUCCACACAUGCUUUUGGAGUUGCGGGGUAAGAAUAAAAAUUUUCAUGAGCAAACUAGCACAUUCAUUUUUUCUGGCAUUUUACUUUGAUAGCUCUCACUCAACAACUUGUAAUUGCACAUUCAAAGCUGGGUAAGUGUAUGACUGGUUCAAAUACCAUUAACCACCCUUAUGUGCCAUCUAUCUCAGCUCAACUUUAUGGAGAUAUAAACCAUCAACAUGUUAUGCUGUUCUAUUAACGAGCUCCUGUUUGGUGUCAGGCCUCAAUAAACUGGCACCAAAUUCCCGAUUGAAGCAACUCCAUUCAAGAGAAUGGCCUGCCAUGAAACCUUUAAAAGUCAAAAUUAAGCACAAGUAGAAAAAGCUGGCUUAUCAGGUAAAAACUCACCAAGGAGAAAGCAUCACUUUACAAAAGUUUAGAUAUAAGGGGAAGAGGGCAAAAUCGGACAAAGUGGAAGCCAGAAAGCCAAAUUGAAACAAUCUCAUAGACUUUGAAUGAUUAUAUUAAAUGUGUUAUAGACAACUCGUAGAGAAUUCACAGCAGUACUCUCUUGCAGUUCUGAUGGUGCAAACUGGUUAUCAAAAUCAUCACAAAGGCAUUUGAUAAGAAACGUAAUGAUAGAAAACAAGGAAUAAAGAGGCAAGAGCAUGUGAGGUUAUGUGCUAGUCUAGCUAUGUAACACAGUAAAUCAUAUAAUUUCAUACACAAACACACACAGAGAGAAAGAGACCUCUAUUAUCAGUGAAGUACAUCAUCACCAUUCACUCAUUUCCAAUUAUUCUUCAAGAAUGCUACUGUGGUUCUUCAAUACAGAUUUAUAAUAAACACUACAUGUCCAUUUUAGAAUGUGCCAUACUAGCCUCGACAAGCAUACUACAAGGAUAUAGCAUUAGCAACCUGUAAAAACUGUUCGGCAACCAAUCCCACCAAGAAGACUCGGUCAGAAUGAAAGAACAAAUUUAUCUUGCUGUUGUUCAUGACAGAUGUAAUUCCUAAGAAGUAUAGGUAAUAAAAGGUAUAUUAAAGAGCAAUUUAAGAAAUGGAGCAAUUAACUAAGAAAUAUUUAUUUGACAAUGAAUUUAAGGCAUGACAUGCAGCGCAGCUGUUAAGCAAAUCCUGCAAGAACUACAGGUUAGAGUCACUAAAGUGAAAAAGAAAGUGUUAAAUUUUGAUACAUAGCAUACAUCUUGCAAUUUCUUCUUGCUGCAAUUCUAGAAAAUUGACUGCAACACAUUAUCACCAAUGAAUGUUGUGAUCUCUAAUCAUAAGAUUAUGGCAAAAAUAUAGGUAACAUGACUAAUGCUGACUUAAACUGCAACAAGUAAAAAAUAAUUUGUCCUGAUUCAUCUGGAUAGAAAAUCACAAGGCAGGAGAUAUAAUCCAUAUCCGACAUCAUUAAAUCACCAAAAUAUUUAAGAAAUUAAAUCUUCCAACUUCAAGCCAAUAACAAGUAUAAUUAUAGAUUAGGUUAACCUACUGUCAUGCACCUUCAGAUUUUUUAAUUUUAUAUGCAGCCAAAGUUUACUGACUUAUUAUUGAGGUAUCAAGUAAAAAAGGGUAAUUCAACCUUUCAGGCUUAGCCAAGGUUUUUCAUAUUCAACUAUCCAGUCCAAAGAAACGAUUAGAGUUGAUACUUCAUCUAUUCAUUUUGGAGAAGAAAUAGAGUUAGUUUGCAAUGAGUACACACAUUCAAUUGAAUUGCAAUAAGAAAAUGAGGCAAAAAGAAAAAGAGAAAUCUCCAAGAAAUCUUCAACUGAGCUAUGAAAAGCAAUGGACUGUGAGUGCAAUAGAGGUUUUUCUAACUUUAAUGAAUGAACAGCCUACAAAAGGAUUAUAUAUUGUUCAUGAAAUAUGUUUAAGAGAGCAAAAACUGACUGAGAGUGUCUGUAGUGAGACUGGUGGGUUUCCAACUGCAGCAGCUGAUGAUAUUGUCACCAUGUUCUAGUGUUCAAAAUGACCAUCACUUUUCGAUAUUACUGAUCUGCAAGAUCCAAAUUUGUGUCAAUCAAGCAAAGGAACACUAAUUGGAGACUCAAACAAUUAUCCAGCAUCUUGUGAUGAUUGAAGAUUCCAUCAUCAAUGGGCAUCCAGUUCUGGGGCAAGAUCAAUGUGAAGACUCCUUCCAUGAAGAGGCUGGGGGUAGGAUAAAAAGAUGAAUAGUUUGUCCUUAUAUUUUCAAGAAUAUUUUUUAGUUUUUUUUUCUUUUCUAAUUUAGGUAGAUUUGCAAUCUCCAAGUCCAAUUUUAAGUCAAUGUCAAGUAGGAAUGUUAUGUAGUUAAUUAAAAGUGUACUUCAAAAUAGUUUUAAUGCCUUCUUAUAUAAGAGUUCGAUUUUCUGAACUUGCACAAGGGGCUAGAUAUAGAAACAAAUCUAUCAAAGAGAUGAGUUUCUUAUUGCGAUCAAGCAAUCAACAUUAGCAGAGAUUAAAUCAAUCAAGUUUUCUUUGUCGUUGAAUAUUCGGGUUUGUCAGGAUCCAAAAUAAAUCUCCACUGGAGUAACUAAUUCUUAGCAUUUAGAGAGUUUUGACAGGACAGAUUCUACACAAUCUGGGGUAAGAAUUCUCCUACAUCUCACCCCUAAAAGUUAGUAACAUUUAAAGCUUUCAAGUCUGAGAUUCAACAUAUAGGGAGGAAAGUAUUCAAGAGCAGCAGGGAUAUUCUUUUCUGCUUCAGUAAUUCCAGUAGCCCAUUAAUUUAUGUUAUUAUCCUAUAUGCUACAGGACAUCAAGUAGAGACUUCAUAUUCUAGAAUUGUUCUUGAAAGACCUAGGUCAUUCUUUGUGAGACAAAGUUCAGAAAGUCUGAAACUUGAUUACGGUACCAUGAGUUGGAGAUCAAAUUUGACCCCACAUCACGCUUGUUGUAAAUAAACCAAAUGUUAAUAUGAGGCAUCAGACUAAUAGGAUAAGUGCCACUUAAAGUAAUGGAAUGACUCAAACGAAAGAUGGAUUAAAAUCAAAUGUACACAGACUAUGUCAAUUUCAUUUUCAUUGUGAAAACAAAGGAUACUGACCUAACAACUUCUGCAAUCAAGGUCAUUUAAAUGGAUGAUUUAAUCUCAUGUACACAUGCAAUCAAAGGUCAUUUAGUUAGGUAUGUUGCAUGGCUUCAUAUAUCAGUCAACAGAAGUUUAGCUGCAUAUUACAUGAGCAUGGCACAAAUGAUAAAUGUUAAGGUUGAUAUGUGUUGCUAAUAAGGAUUCAGUAUUGCUGACAGAGGGUGUGCCAGAUAUAGGACUAGAAAUGGGCCGGGCCACAUCCCUAACCAAGGACAGUCUGAAUUUUUUUUGGGGGCUUUGGGCUGUGCUAAGGCCUGAAAACUUUUGGAAACCCAGGAUCGAGUUCAGCCCGAACCCAAUUGGGCCAGCUCAAAUUAUCCAUUUGGGCUCAAACUUGGGCUGGCCCAAAUCUAAUUAAAAAUAUGUGGCAAAUAAUUACAUAAAUGAAUUAUUUCGAUAGACAAGAAAUGCUGGUAUAUUUAAGAGGAAAAGAUAUUUCAUGGAUCGUGUUAGCCCAUGAGUACACAUUAAAUCCAAACAAGUUGCACAAAGAGCAAGAAUAUUAAACAGGAAGAUUAAGGAAAGAAAAAGCAGAUAAGCAAGAGUUUUUCGGGCUGGGUUUGAACCUGAAUUCGGGCUCUAUUUUGGGCUUCGUGCAGGUUCAGGCUCAAGCCAGACUAAUGAUAUUUAUAUCCGAGCCCAACCUAAAAAAUAAAUAGGCUCUAUAUUUAAGCCUAAACCUGGCUUAAAAUUUUUCAGACCUAGCCAAACAGAUACUAGAUGGCACAGCACAGCACUUGCCAUGUUGAUGCAACGGCCAACUUAUGCUGAAACAAAAAUACCAAAAAUGGUUUAAAAAUUUUAUUAAAAAUAAAUUAAAAAUUAUAAGAAAAGGAUUUAAUGGCUGCCAUGCUGACCAUGAGCAAUAGCAAUAAAACAAGGAAGUUUAUUAUCAGAAGCGAAUAAACUAAAGCAAGCUAGUAAUUGACCAAACAAAUUAGGUUGUCAGAAAUUACGAGACUAUUGUACUAAUCCUUCCUUAUAUUUAGGCCCAAUUAUUUUUAUCCUUUGUAGGUGUUUGGUUCCCUCAACAGCCAUACGUUCAACAUCUAGAAAGUAAGUACUAAAUGUCAUUUGAUUAUUGAAUUCGUAUAGUAAAGCAAGAAGCUGGAACGAAACAAAUGUUUUUAGAGGUUUUUGGUUGAAUGCCAAAACAUGCACCUAAAAUUAUGUAAAUCGAAAAUAACAUAAAAAAAUUGCAUAAUAAGGACAUAGCACAAUAUCUAUAUGUAUUCAUCAAUGAUCUUUCACAACACAAUCUCGCUAUGGUGCGUAUCCGGUCGAUAUGCCCUUAUGUCUCAAUAUUUCAAACCUUGUAACUAAGUGUUUGAAUUAGUCAAUGCAAACUAUUUCAUAUUGUUUAAGUAUUUAGAUUAUUUUUUUCAACUUAUGAAUGCUCCUUAUAGACUUCUUGUUAAUGGUCUAAUAGACCACCUAUAGAGUAGAUGAUGAAGGUAGCACCUAGAUUUUUUUGAGCAAAAGGUGAUGAACUACAAAUAUAAGGUAGCCCCCGUAUACCAAGUACAAGGAUAGUGCCUUGGUAUAUUAUAUAAGAAGAAAUAUUUUUUAAAAAAAUCCAUCAAGCUUAGGAAAUAUAGAGAUUGAGUCUCUAUUUUUUAUUUUAAAAACCCUCUGUGAUCCAUUUCAUUGUUCUCUUAAUAGAGACUGCAAGAAAUGUUCAUUAUUGCUGCCAACAAUAGUUGCGACUCCAUUGCUGCUAAAAAGCAGAUGAGGAGGAAGGUUUGAAGAGAGGAGUAGGAGAAUGAAGGCAAAAUAGAUAGAUAUAUACAUAUAUACUUGUGUGUAAAUGAGUGCGUGUGCGCCUGUCUGUGCAAGCGAAAGAGUUGCCAUAUAACAAAAAAAUUUAAAAAAAAUGUUUUCUAUUUUAAUCGGAGCCAUGCUUACAAAUAGCCUCAAUAUGAACAUUAUUGACCUAAAUCUGAUGUUGAGGGGGAAAAAAAAAGGAUGUGAGCUUGGUGGCAAAAGUUUCCACUUUCAGUACCAUCACUGCUAUCGAUUGUGCAAAGUCAAUUUCAGCAGUUACAUCUUAGAAAAUUAUCUUAAUUAGCUUAUUUACAACCUUCCUUGUGACAGGAAAUAAAUGUUACAACCAAAACAGAUCCGGUGCAAGAUACAUUGGCAACAAUCUGAAAAUAAAAACACAGAUCAUUAUAUCGCCUUUGAAUGCAGCAUUUUUCUCAAAUUUCAGAAAUGAGUGUAAGCGGUCUCAGAUUGUAAAAAGUGAACCAGACAUCACUCUCAGUAGUUUUUUAACUAUAAAAUUUACUCUGAUGUCGGCAUAGUUAUGUAGCUCAAAUGUAUGAAUCCAAGCCCUGGCUUUGUUCAAACUGAACAAAAAGAAAGAAUAUAAUCCACAUCAUCUUUAAUGACCCAAAGCAAAACAUGAUCUAUAAACUUUUCAAAAGAAUGCACACCCUAUUAGCUAUAUUAAACGAAAGCAAUGAAAAAUACUCUCCCUCCCAGGAAAAAAAACAAGAAGAAAAGAAAAGAAAAUGAAAGGAAAAUAGUGAGAGUGGCAAGCAAGGAAUAAAAAAGUCUUUCCAUUACAAAGGAAGCGGGAGAGAAGCGGAAGCGAAUACCAUAAGCGAGCGUAGCCGAUGCUUCCGCCCCGCCAGGCCCCUCUCCUUCCUCUCUUUCUCCGACUGAAGGGC